Long non-coding RNA from Ananas comosus (pineapple), 517 nucleotides. RefSeq lists it as uncharacterized. The transcript is spliced from 3 exons. NCBI's taxonomy places the organism in Eukaryota, Viridiplantae, Streptophyta, Magnoliopsida, Poales, Bromeliaceae. The record is from RefSeq and is a predicted model, not a curated record.
UUCCCCCGCACGACUCUCUCUCUCCUCCUUCACAUCGUCCGUAUGCCACUGCCGCUCCUCACAUGCGCGUGCGACGCUAUUCGAUCCCUACCGUCAUCGCCGUUAUCCGUGGCCGCCGCUGCCGCAACCCUUUUUGCUUGAUCUCUAUCGGCAUUUUUGGUUCGGUAUCUCGUUGUCGUUGUCUCCGUCUUUGAAGAGGUUUCGGUGAUUAAUUUUUCGUGCAAUUUUCGACUGGAUAGCUUCUUAGCUUAGAAGCCGCUUUUGAGGUACCGAGAUUGAUUUGCUUGGCGGGGCUGAGACCGAGUGAACGUUAGACGUAGCUGUUUUGAUUUUAAUCCCUUUUAUUUUUCUAUCUAGUAUUUUUGGAUGUGAAUCUUUGGACUACGUAGAUAAUCGUUGUUAUCUGCUUUUGUUUCGUUAUUUCUUCGUACCCACUUUUGUUACUUAUGGUACGUUGUGGACCGAAUCUUUCUUGUGAUUCGUAGUAAGCUUUAAUUUUAUAGACGUUAGAAUUUCG